Planococcus citri (citrus mealybug) is the source of this 2221-nucleotide RNA transcript. It is a transcript of the gene named carbonic anhydrase 1-like, with no coding region annotated. The record is from RefSeq and is a predicted model, not a curated record. The transcript is spliced from 6 exons. Lineage: Eukaryota; Metazoa; Arthropoda; Insecta; Hemiptera; Pseudococcidae.
GUACUUAUAACUACUGUUUUCAGUUGGUAAAUACGGAACAAUCAAAAAUUUUUGCUCUGUAUGGACCUCUCAAAACUGAAUUUCAUUGUAUCCAGCUAAUAAGGAAUCUCCGAUAAAAAUAUGAUUUUCUACGCCAAUACAAAAUCGGAUAUAUUAACAGCUAAAAAUUGAUUUUUUCCUUUUUUUUUCUUUGGGAUUGUCCCAUGUUUUAUUUGGAAAGUUGCAGUUCCAUUAAAUUUUAUAGACACACUUUGAAUGCGAGUUUUUUGUACAGAUCUUCAAUUUGAAAAAAAAUAGCAAAAUAUUAAAAAGAGUCUUUAUUAGAAUUCUUUACUAAGGUAUAAACAAAGAAAAUUUUCAUUGUUUGAAAUUAGCUUGCUGAUAUAAAAUUUUGUCCAUGAAUAGCUUUGGAGAUGGCCAAGUCAAACAUUAAUUAUACCUACACUUGAUAAUUUCAUUUGGUAGGUAGUUAGGUACAUAGUUGAUUCAAAUGAAAAUUUUAAAAAAUAUUGUGUUCAUUUGAUGCCUUUAUACCAUUAGAAGUAGGUAAACUGUUGCUAAGGAAGAUUUUAGGCUUACUUAUACCUUUCAUUAGUCACACCUGCAUUUUGAAGCCUGCGAGUUGGGUUUUGAAUUUAAUUUUCCUUUUGGCUCAGAAUUUUUUACAAGUACCUAUCUGGCAAUUGGCAGACGUAACCUAGUCCUCUUCUAUUUUCUGUUUUUAAAGGUUUAAAUCCUUAAUCUUUUCUCUUUGCGACAUAUUUGUUCAAUGCUGCUACGAUUGAAAAAUUUACUGGGAAGUAUUACGUUCAAUAACCCAACUCCAUGCAAUCUGCGCAAAAAAAAUCGUAAAAACGUGCCAACGUUAUGAGUAUGGGCGGGUGGGUAUCCAUAAAUAUCCAUAAACAUAAAACAUCACAAAUUCCGAACAUUCGAAGCAAUUAAAAAAAAUUACUUAUUCUGAAAACACGAAUUUUAUCAUUUUAAAAAUAUUAUUUUUACCAUUAUCUAAAUUUCUUCCUGUGGUUUGUUUAGGUACCUGUCAAACAUGAAACAUGAGCUCAAAGUCAGCUUAAAUGUCAAAUUUACGCGUAGCUAUGCAUUUAGGUAGGUAUUUGCAUUUCUACUUGAGCGGAACUAACAUCUACACCCAGCAUGAAUUCCAUCUACAAAUUUUACGUACUUUUUGCAUUUCUUAUUUCCAUUACGAUACAGCAUUCAUCUCAAGACAGAAGUAGAUCGAGAUUGGCCAGAAGAUAGCGCUACACUAUUUCCAUAUCCCACACCUGUGCCCAUUGUAAUCGAUUCUUCGAAAGUUAGACUCUUGAAGACUCCAACACCCUUGCAAUUCAACAUAAAUCCGUUACAAUUCUCAUUUACGACAAACUUUGGAAAUACAUUGGUUUCGCAAACAGCAGAGCCAGUCAUAGGCGAUUUGACUGGAGGCAUUUUAUACAAAGACAUUUACAAAUAUUUCCAGUGUGAAUUUUAUUGGGAUAAUGACUUGAAACCUGACGCAGGUGAUUUGAUCGAUGGACGAGGAACAUCUUUUCAAGCGGUUGCUUCCUUCUGGAACACAAAGUAUCAUUCCAAAGAAGAAGCCAUCAAAAAACGUGACGGAGUUGCCAGUAUAGUAGUUCCAAUUAAUGUUCUGCCUUUUUGUCCAAAUUUUUUAUUCAUUCCGUUCAAAUUCAAUCUUCAAUUCGUUAAGAAAGCGGGAUCUGUUACUUUGGUGGAAGAAUUUUUAGAAUAUAUCUGGUAUUUCACACCUUCCUUAACAAACAGUUACUAUGCGUAUCCAGGAGCCUAUCCUGAUCCUGAUACUGGUAAAGUGUACUACAGUGCAACGGUAUUAAUUUUCAACAGAACUCCUCGUCCAUGCAUUUCUUAUCGGCAGUUUAAAUCUACGUAUGGAAGCUUGCUAAACAAACAAGGAAAACCAUACUCGCAUACUCAAAAUAUUACCAAAACGCAUUCAAGACCUAUAGUGCUUGCCAAUGGAAUCGUUAUUAGAUUAAUUUAAUUCUGUUGAAUUUUCUAUCAACACAGUCAUGCUGCACAUCUGCCUUUUUCGAUUAAAAUACAGUACCUAGAUUAAAAUACUUAUGCGUUGAAUUGAUUCAUAUUUCAUUUGUGUUAAUUAUCUACCUAUUCAUUAACAUUUUAGAUUCUAAAUAAGUCCUUCACUUAUCUGUCAAAUAUACAAACCUACCUAUUUUAA